GUUUUUGCUGGCUUCCUUCAGUGGAUGGUCUGCUCCCCUUAAAUGCAUUAGUGGGAUCUCUUGUGGACCGUCACUUGGUGUGAUAAUUAUCUAUACCAUUUGGCUUUGAAGCAAAUCUUAUGGGAACCCGCUCAUAACCGUCUUCGGACAACUUUUGACAUUUUGACCUCAAAUCAGGUAGGACUACCCGCUGAACUUAA
This 200-nucleotide unclassified non-coding RNA is filed under the name soil metagenome. Its description in RNAcentral is "partial contains internal transcribed spacer 2 and large subunit ribosomal RNA". The record is from RNAcentral.